Molecule: long non-coding RNA, 26400 nt
Filed under: Nicotiana benthamiana
Lineage: Eukaryota; Viridiplantae; Streptophyta; Magnoliopsida; Solanales; Solanaceae
Description: long non-coding RNA (NBEN_LNC033979)
Source: RNAcentral
AUUGAUGGCCUUGUGCCACGUGGAGAGUGGUGCAUUUGAGUAAAUUUUUAUCUAUUUAUUAGUUAAUUGGGUACUGUCUCAUUAUCCAGUAAUUAAUCAAUUGCCUUCAAAAUUUAAAAAUUAUCACAAAUUACUUAAAAUUCUAUUUAUUUUUAAAAUACUUCAUAUAUAUGCUUUGUAUAUUAUACUACCAUGGUCAUAUAGUACCGUGCAUGGUACUAGAUCAUAAUUAUCGGGUAUUAUCGCUCGAUCCGUAUUUUAUUCCAAAUUGACCACUUUCAACGAAACUCAUUUUCUUUAAUCCGUGCACUCACUUACCCUUCAUAACACUUAUUUAUUGCUUGUUACAAAUAGAGUAAGUACGUUAAUGUCAAGAUGAUCUCAUCACCGAGUCUACAUCGGUUAAUUAAAAACGAAAUUUUAUGUACAAAAACGCGAGAUGAAACAUCACCCCUCCCCUCCCCUUGGAACAUUCGUCCUCAAAUGUUAACUGGUGCUCUUAUCAUUUUUCUUGGCCGAUGUCUACUGAAUGCUUUAUUACGCUCCUCGCCAUCUAAGCAACUGUUCUAUCAUUAAAUCCAGUGUUCAGGGCUUUCCCCCCUUUAGGGGAGUACUAAGAUUUGGAGCUAGGACGACCUGCCUACAGAUGUUUUUCCUCUUCAUCUUUGAUAUCCUUUCACACCAUUAACGACCCUUACUCGCCUUGCGGCAAUCCUUCUGUACCAAGGAUGACAAAUCCCCUUACUCGCGAGGGCGACACUUAAUGUAACUGGUACAUACAGUCGCUCAAGCUUAACUUUGCUCACAUUGCUUGCUUUAGAGAAGCGUCUUCCUGAAUAACCAUUCUCUAAAUUUCUUAUGAAUCUUCUUCUAUUUUCCAUUCUAUUAUCGCCGGAAAGCAAUAUGAAAUUCUCAUGAUGCCGACUGGUAUCAAAGCACUCGGUUCCUUAUUCAUGUUUAGUUUAUCUUGUUCACCAGCCUAUCCUGAUUUCUAUUAUUCUGGGGUUUAAUUCUCCCUUCUGGUAAUCAUGUUAGAGUCACGAACUUAUUCCUUGAAAUAAGGAUAUGACUUUAUGGAAUAUACUCUUUGAUGUUUUAUACGUCAAUACCACACAAGAUGGGGGGUGAUUUGUAUAGUACCUAAUUUUUCUCUUAAAUUGCUUAUGAAGGACCUGGUUCUUCUAUGUGUUCCAACUACUGCAAUUGCGGAAUAAUAAGUACAGAAAAUAAAGAACACAGAGAUUUUAUGUGGCUCAAACGGUGAAAACACUACGACCUACUACUCAGUAGGAUUUUCUCAAACUUCCACUAAAAUCACUGAGCCAAAACUGCAUUUACAAAACCUCUUUAUAAACCUAAGGAUUAACUCUAAUCCUGUUGUAGCAACCAGCCUCUAACUGUUGCGCCAACUUCAAGUUAACUCUAACUUGAAUACUCAAAGUACCUAUUACAAUUGCUUCUAUGAAAGCUGAAAGGUACAAAUAAAAACACCUACUACAAUUGAACUAGGAAUAAAGAAAGACACAUAAAACUCUUUAUGGGGCUGGUUCUUAAAUUUGGUUCAUGUAGCUUUAGGUUUGCACACUUGAAUCACACAUGAACUGCUUGCAAAAAGCCUUGCUAUUUUGCUUUCAAUUCACAUUUAACUUCUGCAUUUUUGUGCAACACUUUUAAUGUGAGAACAUCCUGCAAUUUAUAGAGUUAGUAGAUGAAGAAAUAACUAGAGUUCUGAUGCAAAUCUUCCUUGGUGGAAGAGUUCUAGUUGAUUUCAACUUCUAACUCCUUCCCUAUCUUGGAUAGUGUUCUAUUUGAAAUCUUCCUUGGUAGAGUUCUAGUUGAUUUCAACUUCUAACUCCUUCCCUAUCUUGGAUAGUGUUCUCUUCGAUUAACGACUCCUUCUCCUAAUCAUAUGCAACCUUUUCGACCAGGAGAUAUUAAAUACACCAAGUUAAGCUUAUCUCCUUCACGUGAAACACACAUGCUCGAAUCUGCCCGUUUUUGUGCACCUGAGUACUCAUUAGAAUUUUCCCAAACUUCCACUAAAAUCACUGAGCCAAAACAGCAUUUACAAAACCUCUUUGGAAACCUAAGGAUUAAUUCUAAUCCCCUAGUAGCAACUAGCCUCUAACUAUUGUGACAACUUCAAGUUAAUUCUAACUUGAAUACUCAAAGUACCUAUUACAAUUGCUUCUAUGAAAGUUGAAAAAUACAAAUAAAAAUACCUACUACAAUUGAACAAAGAAAGGCACAUAAAACUCUUUAUGGAGCUGGUUCUUCAAUCUAGUUCAUGUAGCUUCAGGUUUGCACACUUGAAUCACAAACGAACUGCUUGCAAAAAGCCUUGCUAUUUUGAUCUCAAUUCACGUUAAACUUCGGCGUUUUUGUGCAACACUCACUUUUAAUGUGAGAACAUCCUGCAAUUUAUAGAGUUAGUAGAUGAAGAAAUAACUAGAGUUCACACACGAACUUCUUGCAAAAUUGUCUUGUUAUUUUUCUCUCAAUUCACAUUUAACUUCUGUGUUUGUGCAACACUUGAAAUUUGAGAACAUCCUACAAUUUAUAGAGUUAAUAGAUAAAGAAAUAACUAGAGUUCUGAUGCAACUCUUCCUUGGUAGAAGAGUUCUAGUUGAUUUCAACUUCUAACUCCUUCCCUAUCUUGGAUAGUGUUCUCUUUGAAUAAGGACUCCUUCUCCUUAUCAAUUAUGCAACCUUUUCGAUCAGGAGAUAUUAAAUUCACCAAGUAAAGCGUAUCUCCUACACGUGCAACACACAUGCUCUAAUCUACCCAUUUUUGUGCACCUGAGUGAUGGACCUGGUUCAUCUUGAGUUCCUUUUACAGGAAAUGUGCAUACCUGUAAAAGAGAACAAACUUAGAUAUUUAUUAAUUUAGUAAUCAGAGUUUGAUUGAGACUUAAUUGUUGAUCUUCCAUCGAAUUUGAGUCCUAGACCAAUACAAACUCCAACCUUUAUCCUUGAUCUGGAUUGUGUUCUCUUCUCAUAAGGAGACUUCUUCUCCUUAUCCCAUAUGCAAUCUUUUCAACUCCAACCUUUAUCCUUGAUCUGGAUUGUGUUCUCUUCUCAUAAGGAGACUUCUUCUCCAUAUCCAAUAUGAAAUCUUUUCAAUCACUUCAGAAGAUACUGUUGCUUGAUCCCUAAGACUUAUCUUCUUCACGUGCAUCUCAUAUGCAUAGGUUGAUAACUACUAUGUCUCAUAAGAUGGACAUGGUCCUUCACUGAGUUCAUUUGUCAUUCUUUAAUAUUUCAACUAAACUUGGGCCAAAAAAUUCCCCAUUUUUGAUGAUGACAAACUCUGUGCUUCUACUGAUCAGAGAACAUGUUUCAACUCAGCUUAACAUCAACACACUGAUAGAAAUAUUUUUCCUUUUUAUCACUUAUCAUCAAAAAGAGUUUGGCAUCAUCGAAAAGUUGCAUAAAGAAUGUGAGAUAACCAGAUUUUAAAACUUACUCAUGGCCGGCCACUGGGGCUACUUCAAAUGCAAUCAUGGAUUAAUCAUCAUAGAUCAUGCUUAGAAUUUUAACCAUCAAGAAAUAUAAACAAACAGUUAGAGCAAAAACAGUGAAUUUCAUUGAUGAUUGAUAAGAUUCUACCACAAAGCAUAAGAAGAUAUAAAAAUACUAAAAACAUGAGCAAAAGAAACAAAAUGUCCUGAAUUGGGUCAGUGGUUCAUCUUCACUAGGUUAGGAGUCUUAAGGCUUGGAAGAGGUAGGGCUGAGUUAUUUGCUUGGAGAAGUUUCAGCAUGUCUUGAAAAAUUCCAUCAUUCUUCUCCUUUUCCCUUGAAAGUUCAAUUCUAAGAACAUCUCUCUUAAAUUCUACCUCAACCAAUCAUUUCUUCAGCCUUGGUAUCUCAAUAUCCUUUGCCUCACUCUCAUGUACCAAUACUCUGACUUUGCUAUUGAUAGGUAUCUUCUUAGAUGAACCAGGUUCAUUAAGCAUAACAUUGACUUCAUAAUCGCAAGCAAGCAGAGUAUUAACCCCAAAAUGAUCCUUUCUUGUACUAACCUCCCACUUCUUCAUAGGUACCUUGAAAUGUACAAGCAUAGUUAUGAGAAUAAAAUCAUAGGGAAUGGCAUGAGUUUUGGUGCUAUUGAUAACCCUAUCAGCAGGUCCGCAAGGGUUUCAUGUUCAGAUGUAACGCGUUCAUCUAUAUUUUUCAAGUUCAACCAAACCCACUUCCCCCUAUUUUACUCACACUCUAUUCUAUUUUACUAACUUCCUCUCCCCAAACAACCACUGCACAUGCGUCUUUGAUUAAACUCACAGGAGUGGGUGAAGAAUCAGCCGCUCUUGUACCCUUUCCCUUCACAGUACUCCUAGCACCCUUGCUCUCUUUUUCUUUUUCUUUUUGUUUUUACCACCAACUUCUCCAGAUAUUGUAGUCUCAACACCUACUAUAUAUCAUACCAGUACAAAUUCAUUUUCUAAAUUUGCAGCAACUUCAUAAUUUGUCUCAGGAGUAACUUUAGAAUCAUAAGAUAAGUGUUUACUUUCGGAAUACCUACUUUCUUCCCCCUUAGUAGCAGACUUAAAUGAAUCUUUAGAUUUCUCGAAUUCUUCUUCCCUACUUGCUUUCAAUUGCUUGUUUAUUUUCUUGGUCUGCUCUCCUUCAGCGAAAAUCUGACGAGCCAUCAUCUUUACUCAACUUUUCUUAGAGAUUGGUGUUGUAGAAGGUGUGGAAGUGGUUUCAUGUGGUGGUGAUGAAGGAUUUUCAAAAAUGUUUAACAUAUCUAGGCUAGGGUAUGGAAGAGAAGAAAAUUGGAUUGUGUUCGGAAGAUAAAAUAAGAAUGAGAGUUUUUGACGGCUUGAGAGAGAUAAGAUAAGGAAUACACUAAAGCUGACCAAUAUACAAAGGAAUACUUGAUGGGAUAACUACACCUUUCAGACACUCAGAAGUUUAAUCAAACUGAAAUUCAUCGUUGGACUAUAUCCCUAGAAUCUAGGUACUUCCAUUCGAUUGGGACUCUUUUGAGUGGGACUGGUUCACUUGUAACGGAUAACUCCAAAAAGAGUUUGGUAUUUGGUCGGACUCUGCUCAUGAUCCAAAUACAGUUAUUUCAAAUUAUGCAGAAUGUAGAAAACAUACUGUGUUAUCUUGUUGAACCAAGUUCUUCUCUGAUAAUUCUCUUGUGUAAGUCUAAAUUUGUCAAAAUAGAUAAAAUAUCAUUAGAGAUUAAUGAGUCAUUUUAACACAUGGCACAAGAGUAUACUAUGGAAAGUAUGAGACUGAGAAACAUUUAAUCUAACUAUACACAAUUUACAUACUUUCUAACCAAAUGUAUUUUUUCAUUUUUUUUCGUUUAAACUUGAACUGGUCCUUUUAGGUGAUUUUAAUCAUCCAUAAUUCCAAUAUGUUCCUCUCAAAGUGAUCUCUAUUUAAGCCUUUUUGUGAAGAUGUCAGCAAUUUGCUUGUCAGUAGUAAAAAACUCCACAGUGAUCAAGCCUUUCUCAUAGUUGUCCCUCAAAAAUUGUAUCUUACAUCUAUGUGCUUAGUUCUCUUAUGAUGAACCAGAUUUCUUAAUACUAAUAGCACUAGUGUUAUCACAAAAAUAGGCAUGCAACCAACUUCAAUACCAAAAUCCAUCAACUGUAGCUUGAUCCACAAUAAUUGAGCACAAUCAUGAAGCAGCAACAACAUACUCAGCUUCAGCAGUAGAUAUGGCCAAUUAAUUUUGCUUUUUAAUAUCCCAUGACACAAGACAUGAACCAAAUAAGUGUUCCAUACCUGAGGUGCUCUUUUUAUCCACUAGGAAACCUACAUAAUUAGCUUCAGCAUAUCCCAUUUGGUUGAAGUUACAAACUUUUGGAUACCAAAGGUAAAGGUCAGUGGUGCCUUUCAAGUAUCUCAAUAUUCUAUUUACAUUAUUCAAGGGGGACUCCUUUGGAUUUGCCAAAAAUCGAGCACAAAGACCUACACUACACACAAUGUCAGGUCUGCUAGUAGUGAGAUAUAAAANNNNNNNNNNNNNNNNNNNNNNNNNNNNNNNNNNNNNNNNNNNNNNNNNNNNNNNNNNNNNNNNNNNNNNNNNNNNNNNNNNNNNNNNNNNNNNNNNNNNNAUGUCAGGUCUGCUAGUAGUGAGAUAUAAAAGAGAACCAAUCAUUUCCCUAUACAACUUCUGAUCAACAGAUGAACCAGGUUCAUCUAUUUCCAAUUUUGUGGAUGCUGCAAUAGGAGUGUCAAUUUCUUUGGAUGUUACUUCCUGGUUUUGUUACUGAGGCAUAGGUUCAUGGACAAGUUCCCUCAAGGUUUGAGGAUCAGUUAUUCUCUAGUCAGUUCCCCCUGUCAUGUUGCCCUGGGUGGAAGAACCUGUUCCUUCUUCAAGUGCAGCUUCAUAUUGGGCUGUGACUUCAUUUAAUCUUUUUUCCAGCCAAAUAGCUUCAUCUUCAUGUUCCUGUCUAUCAUAAAGAAUGUUAGUUUCAUCAAAAUUACAUGUAUACUUUCUUCUACACACAUAGUUCUUUUGUUGUACAUUUCAUAUGUUUUUCGAUGUGAAGAAUACACCAAGAAUACUCUCUCAUCACUUCUGGAAUAAAACUUUACAUAGGGAGUCUUUGCAAUUAUUGUGCACAAAGUACUUGCAUCUAAAUGCCCUAAGAUGGGAUACAUUUAGUUAUUCCGUUUAGUGACUAAUAGGGAAUCUUCUUAAUAAGAGGUCUAGUCAUGUAAAUAUGAUGUAGCAUGCAUGAAUUCAACAAACUUAGCAUUUUUCAAAUUCAGUUCCAUGAUCAGACCUAAUUUAUGCAAGUUGAUUACCUAGUUGUUUCUGAUUAUAUAUAUAUGUGUAUAUAUUUAACACAAGAAGAAAACAUGUCAAAUGCUUCAAUUUUAGAUGUUAAAAUAAUGUUUAAGUAAACCUAGAGUAAUCAUCAACAAGCACCAUCACAUAUCUUUUAUCACCUCUGCUUAAUGUUCUCAUCGGACCAGAGAGAUCCACAUGGACCAGUUUCAUUGUUCUGGUGGUUCUUACCAUUUUCUUGCUUUUAGCAGAGGAUCUUACCUGCUUCCCCCUUGCACAAGCCUCACAAAUUUUAUCUUCCUUGAACUUAAUGUCAGGAAGUCCUAUCUUGCUUGAGUGCAUUUUCUUAAAGUGUGGACAAAUCUACAAUGUAUAUAUUGUUUACUCUUUUUCCCUGUAAAAUAAUUUUGUUAUUGGUAAGAUUAAUCACAAAACAUUUUGUAGAGGUGAAUGCUACCAAGUUACCUCUAUCACACCAUUGUGAUUGUCUUAUUAGGCAGUAUUUUAGGUCAUCUAUCAGGCAGACAGUUUCACUAGAGUGAGAAUCAGUCAUACAUAUCUUUCAAACCCCAAUUAUCUCACCGUUUUUCCCAUUUCCAAAGGAGACAUCACCUCCUUUGAGGUCCUCAAGUGAAAAGAACUAGUUCUUACUUCUUGUCAUAUGCUUUGAGCGGCCACUAUCCAUGUACCAUAUGUGGUUGCUCCCCUUCACUUGGACCCAUAAAAAGAAAUUAUGGGUUAGUCUUAGGAAUCCAAACUAAUUUGGGUCCCUUUCUAUAGGCAAAAGGGUGAAUCAGAUUCUUUUUAGCCCAACCUGGUAGCCUAUUUGUCCCUUGAACAAAUUCUUUAUUUUUUUACUAGCCUUUUCUUUUGCAAUACAUUCAGAUUUAUAGUGACCAGUUUUACCACAAUGUGUGCAAAUUAUAUUCUUAGGAAGUGUGAGGUACUUGCUUUCGGGAUCCCACUUAGGUGCAAGGGUCCCGUAGCCAAUCCUCUCUUAUUGCUACUAUGGUGUUUAUGUAGCCAUGAAAGUACAUCGGAGGACCUAUUCCACUUACAUGUUCUGUCUAGCUCGUGCUUAACCUAGUUUAGAUCCUCCUUAAGGACUCCUAUAUGCUCAUCUCUUUUGUACAACUCAUCUUUUACUUUUCCUACAUUUUAUUCUAAACUAAGUUGUAUGUGAUCAGCUUUCUUUUUACCAAUUCCUAAUUUCAAUUUUAAAUUUUCAGAUUUUAAGCUCUAGGACAGUGGUGUCAACUUCAUGAACAUGGUUCUUCAACUCAACAUUUUUGCUAUCACUCUCAUUUGCCCUAGACUCUAGACUUUUACAUUUUUCUUUUAGAAGCACACAUUCCCUAGAUAGAACUUCCUUCUCAUUGUUAAUUAUCUCAGACUUAUCAAUGAAGUCUAUUAAUAGCUCAACCAGUUUUUCUUUAGACAAGAAUUUAAUCUUGUCUUUGAGAUGAAGAAUACUUACCUCUUGUUCAUCGUAUGAUUCUCUGAUAGCCAUUAAAGCUUGCUCCUCCUCAGUUUCAUCUUCUGAGUCUUCAUCUUCAUGUUCAUCAUCUGAUUCUCCGAUGGCCAUUAGUGCUUGCUCCUCCUCUGCUUCAUCUUCUGAGUCUUCAUCUAAAGUUUCUCCCCAGGCAGCAACCAUAGCCUUUGUUGAUCAUUUGUUCUUCUUGAGUUGAACAUGUUCCUUCUUCUUGUUCCUUUGUUAAGCUUUUUCCUUCUUUCAUUCAAUUUUUCAUUGAGGGCAGUUUCUAAUAUGGUGAUCAGCCUUCCUACACUUAUAGCACCUCUCAUUGGUUUGUUUUUAAGGAACCCUUGGUUUGCUGUAGCUUCCAUUUCUUGAAGGACCAUUUUCUCUCAUUAAGUACUUAUUGAAUUCCUUUGUGAUCAUGGUCAUUUCAUCCUCCUCUAGAUGAGCACCUUUAGUGAUUCUAAAUAUCAUGCUCAUUUUUCUUCUUGGGUGCAUCCAUCUUCAUGGUUUUCCUUCUAAGUUCAUAGGCUCUGAUAUUUCCAAUUAGCUCGGCCAACUUAAGAGUGGUAAUGUUCUUUGAUUCCUGAAUGGCAGUGAUUUUGCUUUCACAAGUGACUGGCAGAACCUUUGUCAAAAUUUUCUUAACUUUGUCCUCUUCAAGAACAAACCUUCCAAGAGACUUAAGUUCAUUUGUCAGUGUGGUAAACCUUAUAUACAUCUCCUGGAUGUUUUCCCCUUCCUCCAUGGUGAAAUCCUCAUAUUGAGAAUAUAGCAAUGUUCCUCUUGAUCUCUUUACUUGAGGAGUUCCUUCUGAGCCACUUGUAAAGUGUCCCAUAUUUCCUUGGCAGUGGUACAACUUUGAAUUCUACUGUACUAGUCUGGGCCUAGACCACAUACAAGCCACUUCUUGGCCUUAGCAUUUUUCUCCCACUUUUUCAAGUCUUCAGUAGUGCAGUCAGCCCUUGUCUUUGUCACUUCAAUUCCAUCAGCAUUCUUCUUAGUGGUUGCUAAGGGACCAUCAGUGACUAUAUCCCAAAGUUCAUAAUCUUCCCCUAUAAUGUGAUCUCUCAUUCUAUUAUUCCACCAAGAAUAAUACUGGCCAUUGAAAAGUGGAGACCUAGUAGUGGAUUGCCCUUCCUAGUUUCCAGGUGGUGCACUCAUUAUUGAUUUUUUCCUAAGGUGUUAGCCUCUUCAAGGAUAACCUGCUCUGAUACCAAUUGAUGUUUUAUAUAUCAAUACCACACAAGAGGGGGGUGAUUUGUGUAGUACCCAAUUUUUCGCUUAAACUACUUAUGAAGGACCUGGUUCUUCUAUGUGUUCCAACUACUACUGCUGCGAAAUAAUAAAUACAAAAAAUAAAGAACACAGAGACUUUACAUGGAAAAAACUUGGCUCAAAAGGUGAAAAAACAACGACCUACUACUCAGUAGGAUCUAAAAUAAAUAACACAGAGAUUUUACGUGGAAAACACCUGGCUCAAAAGUUGAAAAAACCAUGACCUACUAUUCAGUAAGAUUUUCCCAAACUUCCACUAAAAUCACUGAGCCAAAACAACAUUUAUAAAACAUCUUUGUAAACAUAAGGAUUAACUCUAAUCCCCAUUGUAGCAACCAGCCUCUAACUGUUGUGGCAACGUCAAGUUAACUCUAACUUGAAUACUCAAAGUACCUAUUACAAUUGCUUCUAUGAAAGCUGAAAGGUACAAAUAAAAACACCUACUACAAUUGAACUAGAAAUAAAGAAAGACAUAUAAUUCUUUAUGGAGCUGGUUCUUCAAUCUGGUUCAUAUAGAUUCAGGUUUGCACACUUGAAUCACACACGAACUGUUUGCAAAAAACCAUUGUAUUUUGCUCUCAAUUCACGUUUAACUUCUACGUUUUUGUGCAACACUUUUAACGUUUGGAACAUCACUCUUUUAUUGUCCUAAGGCCUGUCACCUAUCCUCUCUUUAUUCACUUGACUAGACUCUAUGAUACUUUCAUUUUUUCUUCCUUUUUUUUCCUACUGUCGCUAUCCAUGUAUCACACCUUAUUCAUAAUGCUCUUUUAUCUCUCUUCUCAUUACUCUGUUGAUAUUUCUGCAUAUCCUUUUUCUUGUGAAAUCUUCAUCACGACAUUCGUUCACUUUUAGCUCUCCUUGUUUCAUUCAUCGACUCUUUGGGUUUCUGAACGUCCUAUCUCUACUAGGGACGAAAGUCACACUAAGGUAAUAUUUAUCCCUUCCAGGCUUUCAGUGCCUAUCAUCUGGAUUUUUUUUAUCAUACUAAUAUUCAUAUCUAAUUGUAAUAUUCUAGCGUGCACCAUUUGAGUGUAUCACAAGGAGAUCUAUUCGCACAUUUGCAAUAUCCUUCGGCAAUGUCAACUAACUCAAGCAAUUCAUUCACCAAUUUGGGUUACCCUAACCUCAGAUGGAUCCUGAAUUCCUGUCCUUCUUUAACUAUACCAGUUAGCCCCCAUAGUGUAUAACUAAAAUGGGUGUGGUCAAUUAUACAUACCUCUGUUACUGUUGAAUAUAACUCAAAAAACUUAUGUUCCUUUGCCUAAAUUACAAUACUGUUAACCUUCAUUAACUAGGCGCCUCGUACCCUUCUUCAUCUUGCUUCUUUUGUUUGUUAAAACUUGUAUUUUAAUCUGUCAUUCUCUUUUACCAUAAAGGUGGAUAAAUAUUCUUUCCUUAAGGCUUCUCAUCAGGAAGCUUACAACUUUCAGUACACCCAUAAUCUGCUAAAGACCUCAUAUUUUCUUAUCAUAAGCAUGAUAUAAAGCCGAGUUCUUCUAAUUCAACACUUUCACAACUAUACCUCUUAUCGAUCAUCUUUCUGAACAUAGGCAUCGUCUUAUUACGAAUAAAAAUAGAAGUUCGGGACUUAAAUUCUUAUAAGUGAGCUCUACCUCACGAUCUAGAGUAUGAAGAAAGAGUGACAGUCCUAAAUGCCCUGUAGCCUCCUGCCUAUAAAUAUGGUGCACGAUACAUCCACAAACAAGACUCUACUAGACAUGGCUUGUAAACUCCCUAGGACAGAACUGCUCUAAUACCACUUUUGUCACGAUCCAAAUCGAUGGGCCGUGAUGGACACCCGAUACCUUACUCAACCAAGUACCAUCGUAACAUAACUUUCAUAUUAUUCUAUCAUAGGUAAGUGAACCGAAGUAAAGCAUAAAGGAAUACAAACUUAUAUAUAUGAAAUACGGGCCUAUAAGGCCAAAAUAACUACUUGUGUACUAAACAUAGGCCGACAAGGCCAUACAAUCUUUUACGUACAUGACAUCUGUCUACAAGCCUCAAAGAAUACAUAAAUAGCAAUACAUGUCUAAAUCCUACUAACCAAACACGUAACUCCGAAGAAAAUGGAGAGCACCGACAUCUUCCCCUGAGUUCAUAGCCUCUUGUAGGGCUCUGGACCUGUCUGUCUGGACCUGUGAGCAUGAAACGCAGCGUCCCCAGGUAAAAGGGACGUCAGUACGAAAUAAUAUACCGAAUAUGUAAGGCAAUACACUGAAAGCUAAAACUGAAAUAAUAAUAUUAUAACUACAAGUAGCUGGAAGUCAAAUGUAAUCUGACGAUAUGCUUACCUGCUGAUAUUGACUCAACUCUCUCAAUAUAGUAAGUAAAAUAGCUUUCUGGUCCUAUUUUAUAGAUAUAUAUAUAUAUGUAUAUAGAUAUAGAUAUAAUUACUCUGCCGUAGUAGGCUCGCUCUUAGGCGCUCGGCCAUACUAGGCUCUAUAUCUUGACCAACUGGGCUCACUCAUAAGCGCUCGGCCACAGUAGGCUAAGUAUAUAUAUAAUUGCGUUUGCCGUAGUAGGCUCGCUCAUAUGCGCUCGGCCAUACUAGGCUCUGUGUCUCGGCCAUACUAGGCUCUGCGUUUCGACCAACUGGGCUUGCUCAUAAGCGCUCGGCCACAAUAGGCUUGGUAUAUAACUUACCAUCUGAUCAGAGGUUGCCCAAUAGGAGCCUGCGGCCUGCCCAUCGAUUAUAGCUCGAUGGUAAUAAAAAUACUUUUAAUACUGUAUAUAUGUAAAUUCUGCGCUUUCUUGACUGGAUGAAAGAAAUACUUAACCAAAUAUGAAGUCUCGAUAAGGAGAAUAUUAUAAAUUAUAAAACUAAAAAAUAUACACAAUUUACCAGACUAGCAAAAUAUAUAUAAAUUUCAAUAAAUUCCGGAAUAUAAAUUUUUCUCUAUGCUUCGUUAUCGAACUUGUGUAAUUACAAUAUCAUGAUAAAAUAAAAAAAAAGCUUUGCCUUAAUAUACCCAAAAUAGAAAAAACUCCAUAUAAUAUUUCGUUAGAAAACCUUCGUUGAUUGAAGGAAAUUUGCGGCUGCUCCUUAGAAAUUCAUGAACGAAAUUCACCUUUGGUCGAACUUGAAAUUUCGGACGAAACUAUUCUGCUUUUAACGUUUUUGAUUGAAAUGUUGGCUAAGGAUUGAAGUGAAAUUGGACGAAUUUAACUUACUUGGAUUUAUUGAAGUUGAACUUGCUUGAAUUUAAACAUUUUGACGAAAUUGAUUCUGUUCCUAACUUCCAUGGUUUUUACAAUCACAUGCAGAAUGAAAUGUUUUGGCCAAAGAGUGGAAUUGUUUGGACGAAAUAGUCCUGUUGGCGUUCUUGGUUUCAAACCAAGAACAAAUUGAGGUUAAAGAAUAAAUUAUCCAUUACUUUUUUACAGACAACCGAACAUGAGAUGUUAAAGACACACAAGAAUGAAGCUUGUUUAUGUUUCUUGCUUUUAAAUGUAUGUCGUACUAAUUUGUUGUAUCAUAUUAGUGGGUUUAUUAGAUUUCUCGUAGGGAUAACAUUUAGACACCUAUUUUAAUUGUUUACGAGUCAUACUUUUAAAUUGGUAGCCUUGUGCCACGUGGAGAGGGGUGUAUUUUAGUUAAUUUUUAUUUACUUAUUAGUUAAUUGGAUAAUAUCUUGUUAUUUCGAUAAUUAAUUAGUUAUUCGUAAAAAUUUAAAAAAUUUAUAAAUUAUUUAAAAUUCUAUUUAUUUUUACAAUACUUCAUAUAUGCUCUAAAUAUUAUACUACCAUGAUCAUAUGAUAUCUUAGAUGGUGCUAAAUCAUAAUUAUCAGGUAUUAUCGCUUUACCCGUAUUUUAUUCCAAAUAGAUCGCUUUCAACAAAACUCGUUUUCUUUAAUCCGUACACCCCUUUACCCUUUACAAUAUUUAAUUAUCGCUUGUUAUAAAUAGCGUAAGUACGUUAAUGUUAAAAUGAUCUCAUCCCUGAAUCUACGUCGAUUAACUGAAAACAAAAUUUUAACAUACGAAAACACAAGAUGUAACAACAUGAUUUGUAUUAUGGGUAGGUAAUGGGUCCCUCUGUAUUUUAUUAGAAGAUUUUAAAUUAUUAGUAAUUAAAGAGUUAGGAUAAUUAGCGGUUUUGUUCAAAACAGUGUCUACUUCAUUGGAAGGGAGAGUGUGGUUUUUGGUUUUAAUGCAAAGAUCAGUAUGCUCUAAAUUAUUGGAAGGUAUUGGAGAAUUCGGGGCAUUCUUAUUUCUAUACAUAAAUUUUUGAGUAGUUAGAAACUUACUUGAUUUUGCCUCAAAAUAUUAACGUUAAUAUCUGAUUUCUAAGAAUUUUCCAGCAAGUUUGAAAGUGAUUUUGUGGGAUUCUUUUUUCUUCCUUUGUUGAAUGAGGCAGUCUUCCAAACCUCUUCUUGUUUUCCUUGCAAAAGUUAAUAUUGGAGUCCUAGACUUGAGCUCCUCAUGCGUCUUGAGUAUUUUUUGCAUAGGAGCACUAUUUUAUUGGGUGUUCUAGGUAGCCACAAUUUUUACAUAAUACGUUCUUCCCUUUAUAGUAAAUAUAUUACUUUUGGGAUCCGAUGAAGAUGAACGGGAUCACUGAUUUGUCUAAUGGAAGUUCAACACAUAGCUGAGCAUAUCGUCCACUGAGUGAUGUUGAUAUGCAAGCAUCUAUUUUCAGUAAUCAACCUAUUGUACUGUCCACUUUUUGAAGGAUCUUUCUAUCAUAAAAUAUAAUGGAGAGUUGAGGUAGUCGGAUCCAGAUUGCUGUAAAAGAUUGUGUAGCUUGAGAUGGUAUAAAAUUAGGAACCCAGCGUUGGACGGAUAGAAAAUGUCCAUAAAUAAAUUAUGGUCCUUUUUGAAUGGAGUUUAUCAUAUUUUCUUAUUUGUAAAAACGAAUAAUGUAAUAAUCUUCACCUAGAUCAAUUAAUGCAAAGGAUUCAUUUGGUUUCCAUUGUCCAUUAAUUUAUUUUUUAAAAUAUCGUAUGAGGUUCUCUUCCCUUACAAUUUAAUUAUGACGGAAUAUCUCCACUUAUAGUAAAUCCUUAGUUUUUCCUCCGUGGUAAUAGGUGCUGAAUACUUAUGGUCAUAUUGAGGAUUUUGUAGGGAGAUUUCAUUGUCAAGAUUUGAGUUAAUGUCCAUAGGAGUUUGGUGUGGAAAACUAAUUUUCCAUUUCGUUGGUAAGAAAUUUCUCCUUAAAGGAGUGAUUCAGUAUACAUAUGCAUUAAUGAAGGAUUUAUGUCCAGUAGUUUAGGAGGAGUGGCAAUUUGGGAAUUCAUUUGGGUAUAGGUGUAAGUAUUAUGUUAUAACACUAAUUUUUUUUCUUGUUUUACAGGUUUAGGAUGUUAAUUAAGAUCUGAAGAAAGGUCAAAUAGAAUGUUAAAAGAGGAGAAUAUUAUUACCCGUGGAGACAUCAUGUUCUCGAUUUUACAUCCUUUCUGUGUACUACUAAAAUUUUAUAUCAUAUAUUUAACUUAGAAAUAUGUGAUCUCAAAUAUUGGAUCAAAAAGAACAAGUGACUCAAAAUUUUUUAAUGAGGCAACGCGUACGAGUUACAUAAAUGUGAGUGUAAAUAACUUUGUGUAGUCAGAAUUUUGCAAACCGUAGCAAAAGAUGCAGAUAAAAUUUAGAACAAAAAAAUAUAUUCAUAUUUUCAUGAAUUUUACUACACAAAUAGAUGAAAUUAUCUUUAACUAAAAACAAACAGAAAAAUAAUGUAAAACACUUGUUCUAUCACUCUAUAACCUAUGUUUUCAUAAGACUAAUAUUUUGUUUAGUCAAUAACUUGAUUUUCGCAUAAGUACUUCAUAUGCAUAUGAAGGUAAUGCUUACAUUAUAACAUUGCUACCUCGCUCAAACUCAACUUUCAAACCCUUACAAGUGACUUGUGAUUUUCCACAGUAUGAGUGGUGUUGUGCCUCGUGAUGGCUUAUUUGAGCUUUUCCAUUUAAAUUUAUCAUAAAUUUUGUGAAAUGACCAAAAGCAAGAUUAGUCAUCGACAAUACAAUGGUCAUAACUCUUAGGCAACGCAUCAAAAGUCGUAUCAAUAAAAUUUUGAGCUUUUUCGUCUUGAUAAAACUUAGGAGCAACAUUAGCUUGCCAAAGUGUGGUGUCAUUAUAAGUAACUUCGGCAUCAAACUGAUCAUUGAAGAAAGUAUAAUCAUCGGGUUCUGAUUAAGCUAGUGAACUUCCAACCCUGAGGAUUAUCCAAGGAUAAAGGUAGCGAGGUGCUUAACAUAGAAAAGAGUGAAGAAGAGACAUAUAUAAUACGAAACUUAAGAGUUUUGGUCUUCUUUAGUAACCCUAGUAUCUUGAAUUUCUUUAGUAGCCCUCGGAAAAUAUAAAUACAAAGCUAGUACAAUACCUAAUGCUAUAACUAAUAGUCCAAUAAGUAUGCUUGAUGCUACAUUAUAUUAAGAAAUUUCGGCUGAAUCAACUAUUUUAAUAUUAUCGGCAGAUUUUUCCAUUUAUUAAGUGGUAAGAGUAUAGGUAGAACUCGAAUUGCAGGUAGUAAAUUUGCGAUUGAAAUUUAUAUUCGUAUAAUCGGCUUAUAUAGAUGGUACAACAGCCAAUCCGACUUAAAAAAGGAUUAAUUUAAGUUUUUAAAUCCAAAAUGGAGUUGGAAAAGAUUAGUAAGCGUUUCUGCUGAUUAGAAGGAAAAUUAAAAAUAAUAUGUAUAGAUUAAUAAUAGGGAAAAGGGUCAGAACUGCCCCUAACGUAUUGAUUCCAGGUUAAAAAUACUCUCCGUUAACCUAUUUUGAAGAAAAUGCCCCUACCGUUAAAAAUAUGGCAUAUAUGUGCCUCUAAGUCUAAUAACUGAUUGUACUUAUAUUUAAAACGGUAGGGGCAUUUAUUUCAAAAUAGGUUAACGGUAGGGGCAUUUUUAAACUGACAUGCUAGACUUAGGGGCACAAAUAUACCACAUUUUUAACGGUAGGGGCAUUUUUCUUCAAAAUAGGUUAACGAAGGGCAUUUUUAACCUGGAGUCAAUACGUUAGGGGCAGUUCUGACCUUUUUCCGUUAAUAAUAAUUUGAUGUUUUCCCAUUUCUUUUAGUUUUUUCUCUUAAACAACUCGAUCCCCUCUUUCUCUCUCUCUUCCUGCGCGGCAUCACGUUUUCCUUAAUUUUAUUCUCUCUCUACGGUCCCACCUAUUUCUCUCCCUCUGCUCUAAGUUUUGGGUUUCAGAAAAAAAGGUAAGCUCCUUUUUACAGAUCCAUUUUCGAAUCUUCAAUUCUUCUUCUUAUUUCAGUUUCAAUAUCUUAACCGCUUUUCAACGCCUUCGGUUUGUUUCCCGCUCACAUGUCACAUCUGCAUCCAGUUCUCUGCUUCUAAGUUUAUUUAUAUGUCCGCUGAUUGCUCUGUAUCACUGUAGUUAUAGAAUGUUGACAUAUCUUUAUGCUUGUUGUGUUACUGAAGAGAUGUAAUUCAUGUUUUGUUUUGAUCAAAUGUUAAGUCAUUUUACUAUUUAUAGACAUAUCUGUAUCAGUCGUCCAUUAUAAGUAACAUUUAUUCUAGUUUGAGAUUAAGGACUAGUUGAUUGAUUGAUUGCCAGCAUAUAGAUUGCUGAUUUCAUAAUUUACUCUGUCCGAAAAUGUUUGGCACUUUUUAACUUUCGAGAUUCAAACUAAGUGAUAUUUGACCAGGUUUUAAAGUGUCUUUUUUGCUCGUUUUGAUAUGAGGAGAAAUGCGACUUAUAGAAUUAUCUUAUCUAGUUUUUGAACAUUUAAAAUUUAAAAAGGUAAAGUAAUCUAAUCAGAUUUAACUCAGGAAGUAGUCGAAUUGACCUGCAUAAUGUAAAAAUUGCUACACAAACUGUGACCACAAUUCUUAUCCCUAGUUUCAUACCUAGGUAAGGAAAAAUUGCUUAAUGUAUUGUGACAACAACUCUUAUCCUAGUUUCUUAUUGAGUAUAGUUGAUUGAUUUUGGUGUAUUAUUGUUCAUUUUUCUUUUUGUUUUGUUAUUCAGGUUAAGCACGGGCGAGGCACAAAACAAUAUCGACAUGGACGAAGGAACCCUGAAGGUUGGAAUGGGUACGUUUAUACUAUCCUCUUCUUUUUAGCCCCUUCUGUUUGCUGGAUUGAAGUCUAUUUAUGGUUGUCAUGAUAUAGAUAAGAGCUAAGUUUAACAUGCUGUAUGAGCCGAAUGCCUCCAGGGUCCUUGCUUUACUGAUAAAGUUUUCUCAAGUUGGGAGAGAAGUGCAGUUAAAGCCCUUUCUGAUUUUCUUUUGUGUAGUUUGCAUGCGGAUGAGAGUGGUGUUUCUAUUUCCUGAUUUUAGCAGACCUCAUUUAUUAAUCAGAGCAAUCAUUUCAUUAGUAUUCAUUAAUUUUUGUAGUUAGCAGGAUUUCAUUGGUAAAUACUAGUAUUAGAAAGUAAAUAAGUAUUCAUUAAUUUUUGUAGUUAGCAGGAUUUCAUUGGUAAUUACUAGUAUUAAAAAGUAAAAACCAUGAAUAGAGUGUGAUGUACCUUCUGCUCAUAUGCUGGAAGGAGAAUAUGUAAUUAGAUUAUCAAUAAUAAAUUUUUUCUGCUUCUCUCUUAUUGUGUAACUUUCUGUCUAAACUCAGACAUUUGUUAAAAAUUUCUAUCUAAGACUGAUGGUGACUUAUAUGGAAGGUGACUCCUAAUGCUGUGUAAAUUGCAGAAUAUAGAACUGUCUCAGGUGUUGCUGGACCACUUGUUAUCCUUGACAAAGUUAAGGUAAUCAGUGUGCACUUUGCUUUUGAUAUAUUUUCCUUUUUUUGGGGUUUAAUGUUGUUUGCUGUAACUUUUGUGUAAAUGCAACUGGAAUAAUGUGUGCAUGUGUUUCUCUUAUCAGGGACCCAAGUACCAGGAGAUUGUUAAUAUUCGUUUGGGAGAUGGAACAACUCGACGUGGGCAAGUUCUAGAAGUUGACGGGGAAAAAGCUGUUGUUCAGGUUUAUUAUUCUUUAGCAUCGCUUAUGUUUGACUUUAGACAAUAUUUUAUCCACUACUAAUUAGAACCUUCCAACAAUUCUGUAAAAAUUGAAUCUGCUAACGCAUGGUCAUUGUUUGCUGUAACUUCUGUGUAAAUGCAACUGGAAUAAUGUGUGCACGUGUUUUCUCUUGUCAGGGACCCAAGUACCAGGAGAUUGUUAAUAUUCGUUUGGGAGAUGGAACAACUCGACGUGGGCAAGUUCUAGAAGUUGACGGGGAAAAAGCAGUUGUUCAGGUUUAUUAUUCUUUAGCGUCGCUUAUCGCUAGAUUUGACUUUAGACAAUAUUCUAUCAACUAAUUAUUAGAACCUUCCAACAAUUCUGUAAAAAUUGAAUCUGUUAACGCGUGGUCAUUUCCUCUUCUAUUUUUACCAUGUUUUUGAAGGAACAUCUGGAAUUGACAACAAAUAUACGAGUGUGCAGUUUACGGGGGAGGUACUUUAUAACUCAUUUUUUGCUCCUGACAUUUGCUCCCAAUAGAGGUCUGGCCCGUCCCGAGGCCCUGUGUGAAUGCAGGAUGCUUUAUGUACUGGGCUGCCCUUUUAUUUUUGCUCCUUCAUAUCUAAUCAAUAUAAAUCACGAAAAGGAGGUUCUUUGAUGAAUUUCAUGCCGGUCCAUUAACAUUGGACUGGAAUUAUAUGCAGUCUCCCUUUCUGUAGUCUUUUUGUUCUUCUGUCUUGCAUUCAAAGCGUUGUAUAUGGCAUGCAUAUACUUGUCGAGCACAAUAACCUUGGCAUAGUGUUAACAUGCAACUUGUUUUGCAUUUGCUCAAUAAUGGAAAAGAAUAAGAAUGAGAUGGAUUAGCAAAGUAGUUAUUAAUCAUAUGGCUAUUAUCGCCGAUCAAAAAUAAAAUCAUAUUGGCUAUUAUAAAAAGAAAUUAGUAGAGAACAUAUGCUUCUACUGGUUUAGCGUUUUCACUUCUUUGUAACAGUUAACAUCAUGUUUGCAGGUUUUAAAGACACCAGUCUCACUCAAUAUGCUUGGACGCAUCUUCAGUGGUUCUGGAAAGCCUAUUGACAAUGGUCCCCCUAUUUUACCUGAGGCCUACAGGGAUAUUUCUGGCAAGUUCUUAGUUCAAGCAAGUCCAGCUUUGGUUCUCAUAUAAGAUUUUUCCUUUAAUAUUGUGCUACAUGUAACUUGUCCAUCUUAGGGAGUUCUAUCAAUCCAAGUGAGAGAACAUAUCCUGAAGAGAUGAUACAGACCGGAAUUUCAACAAUUGACGUCAUGAAUUCAAUUGCUAGUGGGCAGAAAAUUCCUCUUUUCUCUGCUGCCGGUCUCCCUCAUAAUGAAAUUGCUGCCCAAAUCUGUCGACAGGCUGGUCUAGUGAAGAGGUUGGAGAAGUCUGAAAAUCUUCUUGAGGUUAGUAACUUCUUUUAUUGUACUCCAACCUUCCUAAUUCAUAUAAUCUGCCCAAAUCUGUCGACAGGCUGGUCUAGUGAAGAGGUUGGAGAAGUCUGAAAAUCUUCUUGAGGUUAGUAACUUCUUUUAUUGUACUCCAACCUUCCAAUUCAUAUGACUAUUCAACUAGAAGGCUUUACACCAUUCUAUUUCUACACAACUUUCACAGAUUAUCAAACUAUAACCAUUAGAGUAUAUUAGAGAACCCCUAUUGCUAGAUAAUCCUACUGUACGGAGUAUUAUGGAUCCAAACAGAGUAUUUAUGACUUUGAGGUUUCAUUAAGCCGACCCAACUAGCUUUCUUUGGGUCAAACUACUGUUCGACCUUGUCUUAACAUUUUCUUCCAUCAUCACCAAUAUAAUAAAUAAGUCAAACCAAAAUAUUAUACUCCAUACCUGGUCAAAUACUGUCUUGUCAUAUAAAAUGGAACAAGGAGCUAUUAUAUUUUGAACAUCCAAAUAUGCUGAUAAUAGGAGGUGUGCUGCAUUGCUUGAAAUGGUCAUUGAAACAUCAACUGUCUUUCUAAAGCCUAAAUGCGAUUUUGGUGGAUUUCAGAAUUAUAUUGUUAUCAUUUAACACGAUAGCCUUAGGUUACUGCAUUGAAGGACCUCGUCACAGCAUUAGAUCCAAGAUGAUAAAGAGCAAAAUAUAUGAGUGCAUUUUUUUCUUUCUUUUAUUGUACAAUUAGUUAACAUAUAUCUCGAAAAGAGAAAACUGAUUUAGUGUUAAACAUUUUCAGAAAGAUGUGACAGACUGUUAGUUCUUCUCUUAUUCCUUCUCCAAUCUACCAGUGAAUCGCUGGACUUGCGCAUUUCAGUUUCCACAUUUUGGUGAUUGAGCUGGAUUCACAUUGAUGUAAUUCUCAUUUUCUUCCUUGAUGUCCCAGAAAAGUGAAGAUGACAAUUUUGCGAUAGUCUUUGCUGCUAUGGGAGUCAACAUGGAAACCGCACUAUUUUUCAAACGAGAUUUUGAGGAAAAUGGAUCCAUGGAGAGAGUGACACUUUUCUUAAACCUGGUAAUGCUUGGAUUUCGACUCUGGCUAACAAUUAAAUGUUUUGUUCUCCAAGAUAAUAAUACUUUUUUAAGGUGAAGCUCAUUCUUAUCUCCUAUAUUUUCUUCUCAUAGGCAAAUGAUCCUACAAUAGAACGUAUUAUUACUCGGAGGAUUGCUCUGACAACUGCAGAAUAUUUAGCAUAUGAAUGCGGGAAGCACGUGCUUGUCAUUUUGACUGAUAUGAGUUCAUAUGCUGACGCUCUUCGUUGAGGUAUUGUUUUUCAAGUGUAUGUCAUAGCCUUUCAGAUACUCAUGAUUGUGUUUUGUAUGGAUCUUUAUUCUUUUGUUAUAACUUAAUAUCAGUACAGCUCAGUUAUGCAGUUUUAUCUAGCAUUUUGAGAGCAAAAACCACAAAAAAGGUGAAGAGGUUCAUGGGAAUUGAAGCGAAAUGCAAGAAGUGAAGUGCACGAUUUAUGGAAAUUAAAAUGAACACAAACAUUUGUGGAUUUAGUACUUCACUAAUCACCUGAUUAAAAAAAAUUAAUACUUCAGUAAUCAAAUUGCAAUCAAAAUCAGCAUAUUUAUAUACAACCAUACCAUUAAUCCAUCUCGUCUAAAUUGGGAUUUGAAGAAUCUGCAGCUUCUCGUUUGGAUCAGUUUGUGCGUCGUCGCUCGAAGCACACACUUCUCUGAAGCGCAUGGCUUCACUUCUCGUUUUGCAUCACUUCAUUGCUUUAAGUGAUAAAGUGAUGGAUUUUAAUAAGGAAAAAUACAUAAAAUGCCACCAAACCUUGUAGUCAAAUCCCUCUUACACACCCGGUAACCACGAGAGUAUUAUUACACACCCAAACUUUUUAAAGUGUGUCUAUUACACACCACUUUAGCUAGGUAGCACUCCGCGUGUCCUACACAUGAAUCAGGCACGUAUAUAGAAAAUUUCGUAUGUGUGAAGCUCUCUAUGGAUGCCAUGUGUCCAACGUUUCAUUUUUUCAUUUUUUCUUUAAUUUUAUCAUUUUCCCAAACGUUAUCCCUCAUAUUCAGGUAACCAUUAUCCCCAUUUCCAAAUUCAGGCAAACCUCCAUUGUAGGUAACCCCAUUGGGUGUUGAAAGUUGAUUAAUUAACUACUUUGGAUUGAGUAUUAUUACUCACUCAAAUUUUCGAAUUUGAAGAGAAAAAAAAAGAGAUACCGUUGAAGAAGCCUUCGAUUGUACUCCUAUUUAAAAACCCAUAUUUCAAACCCGAAUGUGUAGGCGAUUUAUUGUUAAAAACUGAUCUAGGAAGUCUAACAUGGAUUACCAUGUGCAUUUCACUAAAUUUGAGCUCAAAAAAUAUAAAAGGGAAGCUCGAUCGACGGAAAUAGGGAUGUCUUUCCGGAAAAUAUGAUAUUCUUUUGUCAAUCAGUGCACUUUUUUUCUUCCUCUUUAUUCUCUCUUUCUUCCUAAUCUGUCCAUAUUUUCUAACUCUUCAAAUUUGUUUUCAGUUAUGUUCAACACAUCAAAAAGUUUUACAAAAGCUUUCAAGGGAUUCAAAGCUAAGAGAAAAUCUUAACUCGAUAAAAAUCAACUGUUGGGUGGGGAAGAUUAAAGAACCGGGGAGGGGACUUGGAAAGAUGAGGAUAGGGGUGGAGGGGAAUUUUUUCUGUUUUUCUUUUCUAAAAUAUUAUCAUCGAUGGUGUAAAUUAGGUUUCUUUUCUUUUUCUUUUGAGUUAUGACACGUGUCACACUCUAAUUAGCACGUGUGAUGCAAUUUUCAAAACGAAGCUGUCAAACACAACAGUGGUGUGUAAUAGACACACUUUAAAAAGUUUGGGUGCGUAAUAAUAUUCCCGUGAUUACCGAUUGUGUAAGAGGGAUUUGACUACAAGGUUUGGUGUCAUUUUAUGUAUUUCGCCUUUUAAUAACGCUGGUCUUAUCAGAAGUUCUGUGUUUUCUUUUUAGCCUACUGGGAUCAUACAAUUCUCAUCUUCUUGCAGGUAUCUGCUGCUCGAGAAGAAGUGCCUGGAAGGCGUGGAUAUCCUGGUUAUACGUAUACUGAUCUGGCAACAAUCUACGAAAGAGCUGGACGUAUCGAGGGAAGGACGGGCUCCAUCAUGCAAAUUCCAAUUCUGACCAUGCCAAAUGAUGGUAACUCACUGUCAAACAAUUCUUUUUUGGUUAUUGCUUCUACUUCUGAAUUCACAGAUAUUUAGUUACAAAUCCCUACUUUCUGUUGUUUUGAACAGAUAUUACACACCAACUCCAGAUCUUACAGGUUAUAUCACAACAACAACAACAACCCAGUAUAAUCUCACUUAGUAGGGUCUGGGGAGGGUAGUAUGUACGNNNNNNNNNNNNNNNNNNNNNNNNNNNNNNNNNNNNNNNNNNNNNNNNNNNNNNNNNNNNNNNNNNNNNNNNNNNNNNNNNNNNNNNNNNNNNNNNNNNNNNNNNNAUGUACGCAGACCUUACCCCUACCCUUGAGUAGAGAGGCUGUUUCCAAAUAGACCCCCGGCAUCCUUCCCUCCAAGAACUUCCCACCUUGUUCUUGGGAGAUUCGAACUCACAACUUCUCGGUUGGAAGUGGGGGUUGCUUACCAUGAGAGCAACCCCUCUUGUCUACAAGUUAUAUCACAGAAGGACAAAUAUAUAUAUAUAGACCGACAGCUCCGUAACCGGCCGGUAUUAUAUAGCUCUCAAGCUGAGUACUCAUACACACUACCAAAAGGGUAAAACUGUCAAAUGUUAGCGAUCUUAAGAGUAAGUGAGCGUUGAUCUAACUAAGUUAGGUUAUUUUAAACUCUCUACGUUCUCAAUCUUUUACUGUUCUUGAUGAUAGGGAAGCAUUGAUUUAUGAUGUUUUUCUAGAUUGUUAACCUGAAUUUAGUUUACCCUAUUUUGGGAACUAAGAUAAGAAGGGAAAAGACCGGAAAUGUUCUAGAGGGAAAAUAGACAGAAAGGGGAACAAUGAUUAAUGAACUCUCAGUUCUAUUGUUAAGCUAAAACAUGGAAAAAUUUGUGAAUUUUUAACUUCUACUUUCCCUUCUCUUCUCUUCCCUCAAUUUCAAGUACCGCCUUAGAAAAAUGGAUAAGUAAAUAUUACUUAAGCAGAGAAUGUUAUUAAAACCCCUUUUCAUUUCUUUCCUAGGAGGGAAUUUGAACCAAUGUGUCUCCUCUUCCUCUUAUUAUGUCAGUCUAAAUUAUGUUAGUGUAAACUAUGCUCUAAUGUAAGACUUGAUACUUUUGUAUCUUGCACUUGCUCAUUGCCCUACAUCUCUCCUGAACUGCACGCCACUAAUAUUUAUAACUUCUAAUUUACUUUCUAAUUGGAUUUUGGUAACUGAGAUGAAUAUCAGGAAAUGACACAUAGGACUUAAAGAGAGCUAUUGUACUUGUAUGGCGAUAACCCAUAAGGCCAGGCAUUACGCUUUCCAUGUCUUAGUUUUAUUUCCAUGAAAGCCUUGAUGUCAUCAGAUUCACCAGACAUAGGCUUAAUUGGCCAAUUUCAUCCUUGCAUCUUAAGAUAACCAUUUGAUGUUCAUUUUUCAAAAUGUUCGUAGGAGUGUGUUCAGUCAAAGGGCAUGUAAAGUGGGACUCUUAACUUAAUUUUUGGGAAUAUUUGCUUACUUUCAGAAAGUGAAAAAGACUCGCCAGAUAAAGAAAAAUCAUGCGUGUUCAGUCAAAUGACAUGUAAAAUGGGACUCUUAACUUAAUUUUUGGGUAAAUUUGCUUACUUUCAGAAAGUGAAAAAGACUUGCUAGAAAAAGAAAAAUCAUGCACUGUUAUACUUCGGAAAUUACGGUCAUUCGUAUGAAACAAAAAGACUCUUUUCGACGAAACAGAUUUUCUUUUUCUUUGCAGUAGACCAUCCAUUGUUUGUAACGCUUCACUCAAUAACAGACGAGAAUGUCGAACAGUGAAGCAACAAUGUACGUGAAAUACCUUAACUGAAAAAAAAAAAAAGAGAGGAUGUUUGUGACUUUGUGAAGUGCCCAGUUACUGUAAACAGCCCCGUUGCUUGCUAAGUCAAGUUUUUCUUUAAUUUGGCAAUUGUCCAUUCAUACCACUACAGAAGGUUGCCACAUCUGUUACUAGCCUCUAUUGAAUUUCUUUACUCCUUGGAUAGCAUUUGGGUUUUGAACAGAAAUGACUCAAAAGAUUGUUUCCCUUUUGAACUGUAACAGAUAUACCCACCAAUUAAUGUGUUUCCGUGGUUAUCUCGGCUGAUGAAGGUGAGUAUGUGGACCUCAUUUUCUAAUCUAUCAGAUACUUCUAACAACUUUAGAGGACGCCUAACAUGUGAUUAUUCUAAUUCAGCCUUAAACUUUUUUGCAGAGUGCCAAUGGUGAGGGAAUGACCAGGAGGGAUCAUUCUGAUGUAUCCAACCAGGUAAGUUCAACUUUUGGUAAAAGAAUGUACUUCAUUGCUCGAGUCAUCUUCAUUCCUUAUGCAAAGUUAAUCUCUUUUACCUCUGUUGAUGUUGCUAAUUUUUUCCAUUUUGCAUUGAUCUUAAAAUACUAUAGUUGUAUGCAAAUUAUGCCAUUGGAAAGGAUGUUCAAGCGAUGAAAGCUGUGGUAGGAGAAGAAGCACUUUCUUCUGAGGACCUGGUAUGUAGCUCGAGAAAAGUUUUUGGUUUAAAUAAUUAAGCUGUGUUUUGCCUUUGUUAUCAAUAAUUCAAUGAUGAGAUGACUUGAGACUCCUUGUUAAAACAGCUUUACUUAGAGUUCCUUGACAAAUUCGAGAGGAAGUUUGUCGCUCAAGGAGCUUAUGACACCCGCAAUAUAUUCCAGUCGCUUGAUUUAGCUUGGACACUACUUCGCAUCUUCCCCCGUGAGCUUUUGCAUCGUAUCCCAGCAAAGACCUUGGAUCAGUAUUACAGCCGCGAUGCAUCUAAUUGAUGGGAAUGAACUUGCUUUAUACUUUAGUCUCUUGUACAAUUACCUUGGUGUGAGCUUGACGAUACGUUGGGUCACAAGCUUUUCCUCUUUGUGCAUCUCCUUUCAGCUAAAUAAUAAAAGCGGCAUUUGAAGACAAUGACUUGGAUCAGUAUUACAGUCGUGAUGCAUCUAAUUGACGGGAACGAACUGGCUUUAUACUUUAGUCUCUUGUACAAUUACCUUGGUGUGAGCUUGACGAUACGUUGGGUCACAAGCUUUUCCUCUUUGUGCAUCUCUUUUCAGCUAAAUAAUAAAAGCGGCAUUUCGAAGACAAUGAUAUUUAUUUGAGAACUAGUUACAUCCUGUAAUUUAUUAUCUAUUGUAUUUAGUGGACAUGCUGCAGUGUAUUGGUUUUUGUUUAAAAGUUCAGUGAUAUUAGGAGCUACUAGGAAUUAUUAAGCCCUUUUUAUGUAUGAAGCACAUUUUGUUGUUAUAAUUUGAUUCUUUUUGAAUAACACAGCCUUGGAUCAGACAUGCUCUAGAUUAUGAAGUGACUAUCUCCUGACGAAUCCUGAAAAGUAAAUUUCAUCAAUUAAAACAAAAUAUAAGGAAUUUUGGAGUUAAAAAGGCUAUAAAAUCUAUAGCUUCGCACAGUUGGUUCCAAAGAUGAUUGUCAGUCAGUUAAUUUCACUGCAAGAGUCGUCUAUCGGGGCUAUGUAAGGUUCAUUAAAA